Molecule: unclassified non-coding RNA, 305 nt
Filed under: plant metagenome
Description: partial contains 5.8S ribosomal RNA, internal transcribed spacer 2, and large subunit ribosomal RNA
Rfam family: 5.8S ribosomal RNA (bases 1-105)
Source: RNAcentral
GAAAUGCGAUAAGUAAUGUGAAUUGCAGAAUUCAGUGAAUCAUCGAAUCUUUGAACGCACAUUGCGCCCGCCAGUAUUCUGGCGGGCAUGCCUGUUCGAGCGUCAUUUCAACCAUCAAGCCCCCGGCUUGUGUUGGGGACCUGCGGCUGCCCGCAGGCCCUGAAAAACAGUGGCGGGCUCGCUGUCACACCGAGCGUAGUAGCAUACAUUCUCGCUCAGGGCGUGCUGCGGGUUCCGGCCGUUAAACGACCUUCAUAACCCAAGGUUGACCUCGGAUCAGGUAGGAAGACCCGCUGAACUUAAGU